GACGAACGCUGGCGGCGUGCUUAACACAUGCAAGUCGAACGGAAAGGCCCUGCUUUUGUGGGGCGCUCGAGUGGCGAACGGGUGAGUAACACGUGAGUAACCUGCCCCUGUCUUUGUGAUAACUUCAGGAAACUGGGGCUAAUACCGGAUAGGAGCUCCUGCUGCAUGGGGGGGGAUGGAAAGUUUCGGCGGUUGGGGAUGGACUCGCGGCUUACCAGCUUGUUGGUGGGGUAGUGGCUUACCAAGGCUUUGACGGGUAGCCGGCCUGAGAGGGUGACCGGCCACAUGGGGACUGGGAUACGGCCCAGACUCCUACGGGAGGCAACAGUGGGAAGUAUUGCACAAUGGGCGGAAGCCUGAUGCAGCAACGCCGCGUGCGGGAUAACGGCCUUCGGGUGGUAAACCGCUUUCGCAUGUGACGAGGCGUGAGUGACGGUAAUGGGUAAAGAAGCACCGGCUAACUACGUG
RNAcentral lists this ribosomal RNA (468 nucleotides) under uncultured bacterium. Its description in RNAcentral is "partial 16S ribosomal RNA". It matches the Rfam family "Bacterial small subunit ribosomal RNA", at positions 28 to 507 of the family's 1533-position model. The record is from RNAcentral.